RNAcentral lists this ribosomal RNA (492 nucleotides) under uncultured bacterium. Its description in RNAcentral is "partial 16S ribosomal RNA". It matches the Rfam family "Bacterial small subunit ribosomal RNA", at positions 29 to 507 of the family's 1533-position model. The record is from RNAcentral.
AGUGAACGCUGGCGGCAGGCCUAACACAUGCAAGUCGAACGGAAGCACAGUAAGCUCUCGCUCUUACGGGUGGCGAGUGACGGAUGGGUAAGAACUCAAUCGGAUUCUAAUAAUUCUUGGGGGAUAACGUAGGACCACAUACGCUACUACCGAAUACGCUCUACGGCUUAAAGCAGGGGUUAAUCGGAGCUUGCGCGAUUCAAUUAGCUGAUGUCGGAUUAGCUAGUUGGCGAGGUAAAGGCCCACCAAGGCGACGAUCCGUAGCUGGUCUGAGAGGAUGAUCAGCCACACUGGAACUGAGACACGGUCCAGACUCCUACGGGAGGCAGCAGUGGGGAAUAUUGGACAAUGGGCGCAAGCCUGAUCCAGCCAUGCCGCGUGAGUGAAGAAGGCCUUCGGGUUGUAAAACCCUUUUGUUAGGGAAGAAAAGCUGCAGGAUAAUACCUGGCUGUCCUGACGGUACCUAAAGAAUAAGCACCGGCUAACUACGUG